Molecule: long non-coding RNA, 1097 nt
Organism: Bactrocera tryoni
Lineage: Eukaryota; Metazoa; Arthropoda; Insecta; Diptera; Tephritidae
Exons: 4
Source: RefSeq, a predicted model, not a curated record
AAAAUCAUAGGCCAAACAGUUGAUAUCGGAACUUGCUGGCAUUUGGUUGUGGAGUGCGCGUUGGUACAACUACUCAGCGUUUUUUCGUACGUACGCCACGAAACGAGUACGAGUGUUUUAUAUGUGCAUCAGAAAAGCAAACUCUCGAAACGACGAAGGCGAAUUACAUACAAGUGGAUGCGCGCGCGAUUUCUCUCUCUGAAUUUUCAGUGAGUGCGAUAAGCAGUGUGUAUGUAAACACCGCCGCACGCACACCCUCACACACACGGACAGUGCAGUUUAGCGCGUGUGAGUACUUGAUACGGCAGCGCUAUUUGCGAUUUUAAUUCACAUACAGCAGCCGCAAUUAAAUUAGCAGCGGCUAUAAAGUGUGCGAGUGCCCCUGAAAGUGUACGAAUUGAUUGUGCGAAUAUAGAGAAUAAUAAUAAGCAAUAACAAGUAAUAAUAACAAAAAGUGCAGAGUACUUGUCUGUAUGUAUUGGCUGGACUCGGCAUUAUCAGUGUUUCGCAAAAGUUGAAGUGUCGUUGUGUGUGCGAGCAAAUCUGUGGAAAUUGCAAUUAUUCAGCAAGUGCUAAUUAAAUUAGUUGCAGCCAGAAGUUCAGCGGAAUUUGCUGUGAGAGCUGUUAGCGCUGGAAUACAACCGAAAAUACACAACUGAAGAUUUCAUACAAAAGAUACAAACAUAUUUGGCGCUAGAUUCUGCACCGUAAUUGAUCGAGCUUCGCAUAAAUCUCCUCCCAAAACGAAAAAAGCAUAAGAAUAAUCGAAAGUAAGGAAAGCAAAAAAUGCGACCAAAAGCAACUAAACAUUAAACGCAAGCGAAAGCGAAAGAGAGCACAUAUAAUUGUAAUAAACAUAAGCGCGCGUUCUAAGUCUCUCCGCGUUCCAGCAACUAGCAAUUUCCGCUUUAUGUGUAUCCAGUUUGCUUUGUGCUUUUUUAUCGCACAGAAGUAGUCUGCGCUCCAUCUUUGUUUCUCCAACACACACACUCACUCUCUAAACGUCUAUUGCACCGACCGAUCGCCCGAACCGCCUCAAGCCGCCUCAAGCCGCGCGUCCCAUACUCACAAAUUCGUUUCCAUUUCAACUAGUUGUU